GGCGAGAUGGCCGAGCGGUCUAAGGCGCUGUGUUAAGGUGUAUCCAAGCAUCUCCGCAGUCUUCGGACGUGGGUUCGAAUCCCACUCUCGUCA
Molecule: transfer RNA, 93 nt
Organism: Trichosporon asahii var. asahii CBS 8904
Lineage: Eukaryota; Fungi; Basidiomycota; Tremellomycetes; Trichosporonales; Trichosporonaceae
Rfam family: tRNA
About the family: Transfer RNA (tRNA) molecules are approximately 80 nucleotides in length. Their secondary structure includes four short double-helical elements and three loops (D, anti-codon, and T loops).
Source: Rfam